UCGGGGGGGGGGGGGGGGGGGGGAGUGCAGUGGAGAGAUAAGUUUAUUUGGCCUUCCAUCACAGCUAUGUGAUGGAUGUUUAUGUUAAAUGUAAUUAUGUUGUGUCUGGGGUCUAUUUGUGUGUAAUGUAUGGCUGCAGAAACGGCAUUUCGAUUGGACCUCCAGGGGUCCAAAUGACAAUUAAAUUGACUCUUGACUCUUGACCCUUGACUCUCUUGAGAACUCUAGGAUGAUCUGAUGUGAUGCUGACUGCUGCUGUGUGAUUUGUAUAUCUUGUUUGUAUGUGGACUUUGUCUUGUUAGUACAUGUUGAGUGUUGGCUCGAGGGGCUGAAUGGCCAACUCCUGCACCUAUGUCUAUUGGCUUUUGUCAAAGAUCCUUUCUUUGAAUCUGACAACAUAAAACAUGAACUCACUUCUUUCCCAUUCCACAGAUCCUGCUCAAAGGGCUUAGUAUUUCUAACAUUUACAUUUCUUGUGCUCCUGGUUAUUGAGGAUUGAAACUGGAGGGCAAUAUCCACUCUGUUGCCAGCAGUGCUCAUUCAACCAUUGUUCCAGGCUUAGACUAUGAUAGACAUUUGUCCAUUGUACAAUGGGAAGUAUCACAGCUGAAUCAGCUACUUUAUCAGCCAACCAUCAGCUCCCAUCUCCUGCCUGCGAAAUGUCAUCUGAUCGUAACCAAGAAAUAGAAACGUGUGUGAAUGUUUACAUCUCUAACUGAUGGCUACUGAGGCAAGUUGUGGCUCUCUGAUCUUUGUACUCGGUUUGUACUCGCUAGAAUUUAGAAGGUUGAGGGGGGAUAUUAUAGAAACUUACAAAAUUCUUAAGAGGUUGGACAGACUAGAUGCAGGAAGAUUGUUCCCGAUGUUGGGGAAGCACAGAACAAGGGGUCACAGUUUAAGGAUAAGGGGGAAAUCUUUUAGGACCGAGAUGAGGAAAACAUUUUUCACACAGAGAGUGGUGAAUCUCUGGAAUCUUCUGCCACAGAAGGUAGUUGUGGCCACAGUUCAUUGGCUAUAUUCAAGAGGGAGUUAGAUGUGGCCCUUGUGGCUAUAGGGAUCAGGGGGUAUGGAGAGAAGGCAGGUACAGGAUACUGAGUUAGAUGAUCAGCCAUGAUCACAUUGAAUGGCGAAUGGUGCAGGCUCGAAGGGCCAAAUGGCUUCUACUCCUGCACCUAUUUUCUAUGUAUCUAUGUUUUUCAGUGAGGUCAAUUAAUCUGGGAAAAAGAGACACAAUAUGCUGGAGUAACUCAAUGGGUCAGGCGCAUUCGCUGGAGAACAUGGAUAGGUGAGGUUUUGGUUGGGACCCUACUCAGACUAAAGGGCUGUGACCCGAAAUGCCACCUGCCUAACCUGCCGAGUUUCUCCAACACCUUGUGGUGAACUAUCAUCUGCAGUACCUUGCGUCUCGGUUAAUCUGGAUCACAAGUUAAACUCAAGACCCCUGAUCUAAAUUAGUCAGUGUGGUUAAUGCCUGGUAUUUGGGGAAGCUUUUGAAUGAUGCGCAUUUAUUCUACAAAUGUGAACGCUGUGUUUAUCACUUUGAUAGAGAUUGAACAUUCUAUAUUGACCUGGUAUAUUGGUGGAAUUAUCGGGAGUCUGGCUCUUCUCCUCGCCAUUAUACUGGCAGUGGUGUGGUGUCAAAGAAGGCGCAAGUCUCCAGAAACCAAUGUGACCCCAGUACCUGAGAUGAGCCGUGUUACUGAAUAUAUGUCUGAGUAGGAAGGCAAAGCAAGAAGAUAAAGAGGAAGGUAUUCACUAUGGAUCCAUCUCCUUAUAGCCUAAAGCAACUGGUGGCAGCAGCGAUAAUACAAUGUCCUCCAAUCAAGCAUCAGGCACUAACCUUGUUUCUUCAAAGGAAGAUGAGUCUGUCAUCUAUGCUGAAACAGCAAAAACAUAAACAUGGUGGAAAGUAAAGGCUUGGACUUUGAUAAGUGCAACGGUUCAAGUUUUGGAAUUUACUUUUUUAUUUCAUCCAUAUUAUUAAAACGAAGAUCUUGACCACAUUCUGACUUUCUGUAUCGUGAUUUCUGAAAGAACGCCGCCACUUACAGCCGUAAUUUUUGGUCACCUCGCUCAGGGUCCCCCUCCGCUGAGCUGGACCGGAGGCUUUUUCCCAUCGAUGAAAAAUCAGAGUUGUUAAUGUUUUAGUAUUGGUUGUGAGUGUUUGUGUUUGCAGAAAAUGUAUUGGUUGUAAAGUGUUUGCAAAUUUGGAGAUUUAAACGUUUGAAUCAUUCGGUUUACAUACUAUGUUUACCACGUUCUGAGGUUACUUGGCAUUUUAGUAUUGGAUUGUGUGUGUUAGUGUGUGAGUGACUGUGUGUGUGUGAGUGACUGUGUGUAUGUUUGACUGUGUGUGUGUGUGUGUGUGUGUGUGUGUGUGUGUGUGUGUGUGUGUGUGUGUGUGUGUGUGUGUGUGUGUGUGUGUGUGUGUGUGUGUGUGUGUGUGUGUGUGUGUGUGUGUGUGUGAGUUUGUGUGUGUGUGUGUGAGUGUGUGAGUGUGUGAGUGUGUGUGUGUGUGAGUGUGUGUGUGUGUGAGUGUGUGU
This is a long non-coding RNA of Leucoraja erinaceus (little skate), 2543 nucleotides long. RefSeq lists it as uncharacterized. Lineage: Eukaryota; Metazoa; Chordata; Chondrichthyes; Rajiformes; Rajidae. The record is from RefSeq and is a predicted model, not a curated record. The transcript has 5 exons.